GAGGAUCAAUGCAUAUAAGUUUAGAAUCUAACAGAUUUCAGUAAAUGGCAUGAAUUUGGAAUUCUUGCAUUUGCAGUAAGGAUUUGGGAGUGUGAAAAGAGAAUCAUUGAAGUUAUGUUCAAUUGAUCUAGUUCACAAAGUAAAGAUCAUAGACAAACAUAGUAUGCAUACUUGGUGUGUGGCAUGACUAGUGUUUAAAAAAACAUAGUGUACAUGCUUGGAGCAUGGGACAACUAUUGUUUUAAAUUCAAGAAUAAAGUUGAUAGCUGAAACAGUAUACAAUGAAUAAUGUGUAAUCAUAUGGUGAUAAAUAAAAGGUGUUUUAUUUAUGUUCAAAGGGUUGAUACCAUAUUAGAUUCAAUUAUUAUUGUGUUUCACUUUGCAUGUUUUGACUUCCCGAAUAAACUGGGUUAUUCUUCCGGAAUGACUAAGUUAUUCAAACCAUCCACAGUCGGUCAUAUGUUGGAAGUAGAUAUGAAUUAAGACUGUCAUGGGUUGGCUUGUAGAGGUCUAAGGUGUUGGACAAAGGGCUACAACACUCAUGAGUGCUCAUAAGUUCUGAGUAUUGGAUUCAACCCGCGCUCAUUGGAAUCACUUCAUGGAUUUUAUCACGAGUGAUCAUGAGACGAUAAUAUCUUAUAUUCUUCAAACCUAGAGAUAUGAGUUGUUACUAUGAGUUGAUAGUACAUUGAUUGCACGAAAACGCAUUUGGUAACUCGGUGCUAUAAAACGUGCCUUUGUGUAUGAUUCAACAAGUAGUAGAACAAGCCAUAUGAGUCGAAGUUUAUCCAUUCCUUUUACCUUCGGGAUAAAAGCGAUAUCUGUGGGCCCCUCGAUGAUUUGAUGAUGACAAAUGGAAGUGCUCGGCCGGGCCAGGACUGAUUUGAUUUGUUCAAUUAGUCAGUCGUCAUAAAUCGGAAAUCGGGAAACAACAAAUGGACAGAGAGAAUGAUUAUAAUCCAUGUCUCAGUCCAUAUGAUAUCUAGAAUGGAGGAAUAUAUGAUCCCUUAUCUAAUGGACAAGUCAUUGACAAAGGUCAGAGUUCAUCUACAAGGUCAGAGUUCGACAGAAGCUUUUGAGAGCUACGAUUGCCAGUUGGUUCCUGAAGUCAUACGCAAUAAUAGUUUUAGACUUAUCCAAGUGGGAGACUGUUGGAUUAAUGUCUAAGUCCAUAACUAUAAUUGGUAAGACUUGACCCGACCCGGCAUGGUCCAUUUGGGUUGCAUACCAUCAUGCACUUGGAUAGACUAUAAUGAGAGAAAUAAGACACUUAUGGUUAUUAAUAUAUUAUAAGUUCUAGUAUAUUAAUAAUAAGAAUAAUAAGAUUAUUUAAUUAGUAUUGAUCAAGAAUUAAUCUAGGAUUAAUUAAGUGAUCAAAAGAAGACUAAUUAAAUAUAUGGGUUGAUUGUGUAAAUCAUCCAUACUUGUAUAGUGGGCUAAUGCUCCAUGGAUAAUCAAGUUGGGCUAAAACCCAUAGGAUGGUCCAUGGAUGCUCCAUGGUGUAUUUGUACCCAUGGAUCCAAGGAAAUGGAAAGCCAUGACAAUUAAGAGUUUACCCUAAUUGUGUAACUAUAUAAGCAUCUUAUUAUUGAGGAAAAAUCGGCCACUAGUAGUAUUCAAGAAAGGGCUAGCCGAUUUUGGUGAGUGUAGAAUUCUCUCAAGUCAUUCUAAGUGUUUUGAUGAUUGUGAUUCCAUUUGAGGUGUCACACUUGGGGCACUAAGCACUCAAGCUUCAUGAAGACUUUCUACAUCAAGAGGUAUGUAUUCUAUCUUGUUACAUUAUUGUUUUGUAUGCUAGAUUAGGAUAAUACCUUGGAAGUUCUUAUUUGCAUGUAUAAUAGAGAAAACAUAGAUCCAAGGUAUUUAGGGUUGCAUGUACACUUAGGAGUGUUAGAAUGCUCAAAACCCAACAGUGGUAUCAGAGCCUAGGCUUGUUUUCUUGUUAUACCUGCAAUAGAAGCUGAAAAAACGAAUCUGGUGCUGUCUGGCCAUCAGACUCGGCGAGUCCAUCAGGAGACUCGACGAGUCCAUGCCUAAAAAGUGAUGAAUUCGAUCCAACUCGCCGAGUUUGUUCAUGCACUCGACGAGUUGGACCCCCAGACAGCAUAUUUUCGAGUUUUUUGGCUAGAAAUGGACUAGGAACAUUACCCUAAGUUGUUUUUGAACUUAUAAACUUGUUUUUGAUGUGGUAAUGUUCAUGCUAAUCCAUUUUCAAAGAUAAUUGUCAAUAGAUUCAUGUUUUGUAUUAGUUUAAGGUUUAGACUAAUUACAUGAAAAAGUUUGAUUUGAAUUAUCUUGUUCUUAUGAGUUGCUUAGAUUAAUAGAAAUGUUGAGUGAAAUAGUUGUUUUCAAUCCAUUUUAAUCUAAGAGUUGAGUAUAAAAUGUGUUUGUGUAACUUGUCCUCAAGUUACAUGAAGAGUCACAUUAAAGACUCAUAAAACUCAUAAGAGUUGGCAAUGGUUACAAAAUGAAGAGUCUUGUGUCAUUGAAUAAUUUUUUUUGACUCCAUAACUUGUCCUCAAGUUAUGGAAGUUCAAGAGUCACUUCAUUAAAGAAAAAUAUGUAACCAUAAUUAAAUCCAUAAGUUAUAAAAUAAAGAAAAAGUUAGUUCUUUUAUUAGUUUAAAGUCUUCCAUAACUUGUCCUCAAGUUAUGGAACUUGAAGAGUUUUUGGAUUAAAACUACUUUAAACACAUAAGUUAUGGAAUUAAUUAGUUUUGAAUAGUUUCAAAACUUGCCCUCAAGUUUUGGAAUUUGAAAAGUUUUCAAGUAUGAAUACUUUAAUUCCAAGUUAGCCCUUAGAAUUUUAAAAGUUAAAAUUCAACCCUUAUACUUUAUAAUAUUAUAAGUUAAUAAUAUAUAUAUGUAUAAGAGUAAAGUCAGUCUUACCGCUAGUACGCCUCAUUCACGAAGCCGGUCUAUAAGGUGGGUAUAAGGUUGUUGCCUAUAAAAUGGCAACUUAAUGGGUGUCCACUCUCACCCACCGCUUGCUUGACUGGUGGAGGGUCGUUAGCCGAACGGGUUUGACAGGACUAGAAUUCUCCCUUCAUUAAAAGUAUUAAUGAUAAUACUAAGUAACUAAACUCUUAAUAAUACCCAAUCUUAGUUACUUAGGAAAAAUGUGAAUAAGGUGCUAAUCCAUGAAAUUACACUUUACACUUUGUCUAAGUCGUUAGUGGAGCGUGUGUGGUUAACCGGCACACUAACUUGGACUUAACAAGGUAGGUAAAGGGUGACUUAAUAUUUAUCAUAGUAUCGAUGGAGCGUGUGUGGUUAACCGGCACAUCGAUUGAGGGGUAAUUUAUUAAGGGUACCAAGUGAUUUGCAUGGUUACUUCACACCUUGUUUUGUGAUCCUCGGCAUCCCAGUCACAAAACCUGAAGGGCACACUCGAGAUUGAAACAUGCCUUUGAAAAGUUCAAUGAAUCUCAAAGAUCUAGGAGUUUCAAAACCAAUUAAAACCUAAUAAUACAUUUCGUUUAUCUUGGUGGAAAUUGGUGAAUCGUCAUUCACCUACCUUCAAAUAUUUUAUAGCUUGGAUUACGGCAUACCUCUUCUAAGUUAUAAAAUAGUUUGUUGGGUCCUAGCCUUAAUAUUUCAUAUUGGGUGUCAUAUUAAGGACUUUAAAUCAACUAUCUUGAAUAUCUCCCAAAAGAUGUCUGGUUUAGACACCUAUGAUCUUCCCAAAUCUCUUGAAACAAGGUUUCCUAAUGAAGAUGAUGUCCCAUGGAUAUCAUACUUCUUCACCUCUUCAAAUUAUUCUCCCUAACCCACAAGUUCUUGAAAAGUUUAAGGUCACUCAGGCCCUAUUGGCAAGGCAAGGUCUAGGUGUGGUCACAUCUUGGAGAUGUAGUCACAUAUUGACAAGCCGGGAGAGUUGGGUGUCAAAGUCUUGAGAAAGUUGGUGGUUCAACCACUUUCUAAGUCACAUAGUGAGUUCCUUUGGGACACCUAUGAAACAGACUAUGACAAGACCCUUAAUGAUCUUAUCUAUUUGCUAAGAUCAACUUCCUAAAACUUUAUGGACAUUGACAAUGAUGACAUUGGAUAUCCAGUAAAGCAUUCUCUUCCCAAUGGAAAGGGAUCGGCCAUAGUCAACUCGGUUGACCAAAUGGUAAAGAGAAAAGCUAAGUCUGUGAUAGUCCCGUGUACCAUUAUCAAAGGGUCCAUAUGUUUAUAUUGCCAAAGGAAGGGGCAUUGGUUGCGAAGCUGCCAAAUUUACCUAAGGAUGUUAAAGUCAAUAAGUUUGACUCUACUUCAGGUAAAGUCCACUAUCUAACUCUGUUAAGUUUCUAUUCUGAGAUUCUUGAUACAUGAUGUGACUGGGUCACAUGGUGAUGUUUUAAGAAUCAAAGAAAAGUGAAGAAACUUAAAGAAAGAAUAUGCUGAAUCUGAUGGCGUAGAUGGAUUUCUAUCGCAUAGUUUGAAGAUCGGAUUCUUGAGCUACUUCUUAGGAGUUAUGAGAUAUUGCUUAGGAAUAGAUAACAACAAGUUUUCAUAUGGAUUGUAAGGAUAAGUUUUUCCGCAAAGUUUUAAAAUAAAAGAAAAUUUUUUAUAUUUUAUUUAUUUUAAAAUAUCCUUACAAUGGCAUUUGAGGAAAAAUUGUUGCUUAUAUGAUUCCAUUAAGAGCAAGAGUGGAAAUAUGAAAUUGAUUCUUUCAUUUGUGGUAAUGUCUAAAUUUACCAAAUAAGGAAAGAUUCUCAUCACCCAAGUUUCAAUUGGACCGGAACUUGGAAUCAUGCAAGUUGUAUAGCAUGAUGAAUGAGAACUUUCAAGUUUUGGAAAAUUAAGACUAAUUACUUGUUCACAUGGAUGUGUGAGUCAAGUAAAGGACUUAGGGAUCGAGUACACAUUCUUGUGCACUGAUUAAGUCCACCACUAAAGAUCGAUAAGAAGAAUCAAAUAAGGCAGAAGGAUAAAAGUUUCUCAAAUCUGAAAAGAUGGGAGAGUACUUUAGUAUCAGUUUUGUGAUCAUCUUAAUGAUUAAGAAACCAUAUCAAAAUUAGUUCUCUAAGGAAAUCUUAGUGCAUUCUUAUGACUAAGAAGAGGAACUUGAAUUGUUGAAAUGGUUAAAUCAAGAAGAUGAGUCAUACUUCGUUCCAAUACAAGUCUUAGAGUCAUACUCCAAGAUUGUCAUUUGAGUGACAUGUCUUAAAGAAGGUUUAAAACACUUGUCAAAUGUAAGAGUAAAAGUUUUCUACUCUUGUACAUUUGAAAUUGGUAAGUUGUGAUGUUUUGGAUAAAACAAAGACCAACUUAGGCCAAUUGGGUAAAGUGUUUUUCUUGAUUAGAAUCCGCACUAUCUCUUGGAUGUUUGACAAGGGAGUCUUAUAUGUCAAGAGGACAGUGGGAGUCUUAAAGGUCUUGAAAGUCUCAAGAAAUAAUCAAGAAUAAAACCUAAAGUUCUUCACUAGCACACGACUUGAGGUUUAUAACCUAUCGUGUUGACAUAUCUGUGCCCAUUCCAGUUAAAGUUGGCUUUGCAUAUGAGUUCUUAGAGUUCUCAGUUUGUUGCAUAACAACUUGGAAGCAAUGGCAGGCCCUUGAGCUGCCAGGUGGCAAGAAGUUAAGAUUGAGUUCAAUCCAUAUGGUUUUGGAUUUGUCAUUAUCUUUGUCUUGUGAUUAUGGUUUGACAAAUUCAUAUGGGUAGGAACUCAUACACCAUAUAAAUCUAAGUGUCAUAAGGUUUCUCUCCGAUUCAUGAAAAUGAUGGUGAGGAAACGCUUUCACUAAGUAGAUUUUACGAAGAUAUCAAUUGUGUUAUUUGCAUUUUCAAAAGUCGUUAGUGGAGCGCGUGUGGUUAACCGGCACACUAACAUGGACUUGUGAGAAAUGGCAAAUGCCUAAGCAAUUGAGACCAUGAUUACGGUAUCCCUUUUCAUGGUUCUUGAAAUUGCUUAGACACACAGGUGAGCUAUCUACGGAAAGGGUGUAUGAAUCUAAAUUUCAGACUGUCCAGCUGAUUUCUGAGUACAUGUCAAAGCUAGUGGGAGCAUAAGUGUUAUGCUAAUAAUCAUCAUGUUAGUGGGAGCAUGAUAAUUAUGAUAAGUAUUGCAAGUUAGCAAUGUUAAUUAUAGAAAACAAAAGUUUCAAUUGGGAAAAAGUUGUUUUGCUAUAAUUAAGGGAGAGGAAAUUAUGCUUCAUCUCAAAUCUAUAAGCUUAGAUCGUGAGGUUUUAAUCAUUUAGUCAAGGAUAUAUAUGAAUUUCAUGUUGGAAUGGCUCAACAUAAGGAAAUUCUGUAUAUGGGUCCAUUAUUUGCGUUCUAAAAUUCGAUUAUGAUUACGGCAUCCCUUUUCAUAAUCUGAAUUAUGAGAACUUGGCAAAUUGAAAUGGAAAUAUUAUAGCAAAAGACUGGUUUAGUCUUUAUGUAAGACAUCAUGAAUCGUGUCCCAUAUGCUUCGGAUAUAGGAUCGAUUACAUGUGCUAUAUUCAUCCGUUCUAAAAUUUUCCAAAUGCCUGGGGCAUUAAGAAGGGAAAAGGUUUAGAACUGGAUAUGACUAAAAGGAUUAAACAAUUGUCGAGGACAAUCUAAGGUUUACCAAAGAUUGGUUACUCAAGGACAAUUGGAAGUAUAGUGAUAAUUCUGGAAGGACCAUAUUGACAUAAUCUGUAAGGAGGCAACUCUUGUUCAGAAGUGAUAGUCAAAAUGGAAUCUGGAAAUGUUUCAAAGUUAGAAUUUUCAAUCUGUGUAAGAUUAAGGAAACUUAAUGCAAGAAGGAUAUUUCCAAGGAGUUGAUCUCCUUUGGAAUACUCUGUAAUGAUUGUUGCCAAGUCUUUGUGACUUUGUGCAUAAUCAUUACAAGAGGAUCAAUGCAUAUAAGUUUAGAAUCUAACAGAUUUCAGUAAAUGGCAUGAAUUUGGAAUUCUUGCAUUUGCAGUAAGGAUUUGGGAGUGUGAAAAGAGAAUCAUUGAAGUUAUGUUCAAUUGAUCUAGUUCACAAAGUAAAGAUCAUAGACAAACAUAGUAUGCAUACUUGGUGUAUGGCAUGACUAGUGUUUAGAAAACAUAGUGUACAUGCUUGGAGCAUGGGACAACUAUUGUUUUAAAUUCAAGAAUAAAGUUGAUAGCUGAAACAGUAUACAAUGAAUAAUGUGUAAUCAUAUGGUGAUAAAUAAAAGGUGUUUUAUUUAUGUUCAUAGGUUUUGAUACCAUAUUGGAUUCAAUUACUCUUGUGUUUCAUUUUGCAUGUUUUGACUUCCAGAAUAAACUAGGUUAUUCUUCCGGAAUGACUAAGUUAAUCAAACCAUCCACAGUCGGUCAUAUGUUGGAAGUAGAUAUGAAUUAAGACUGUCAUGGGUUGGCUUGUAGAGGUCUAAGGUGUUGGACAAAGGGCUACAACACUCAUGAGUGCUCAUAAGUUCUGAGUAUUGGAUUCAACCCGCGCUCAUUGGAAUCACUUCAUGGAUUUUAUCACGAGUGAUCAUGAGACGAUAAUAUCUUAUAUUCUUCAAACCUAGAGAUAUGAGUUGUUACUAUGAGUUGAUAGUACAUUGAUUGCACGAAA
RNAcentral lists this long non-coding RNA (7503 nucleotides) under Lactuca sativa (garden lettuce). Its description in RNAcentral is "long non-coding RNA (LSAT_LNC009045)". Lineage: Eukaryota; Viridiplantae; Streptophyta; Magnoliopsida; Asterales; Asteraceae. The record is from RNAcentral.